UCAGCAGGUGGAUGUUUGGUCCUCUUCUAGUGUCUAUUGUUCAGCAGGUGGAUGUUUGGUCCUCUUCUAGUGUCUAUUGUUCAGCAGGUGGAUAUUUGGUCCUCUUCUAGUGUCUAGUGUUCAGCAGGUGGAUGUUUGGUCCUCUUCUAGUGUCUAUUGUUCAGCAGGUGGAUGUUUGGUCCUCUUCUAGUGUCUAGUGUUCAGCAGGUGGAUGUUUGGUCCUCUUCUACUGUCUAUUGUUCAGCAGGUGCCACAGAUCAGUUGUGGUGAAGGUUACGCCAGUAUAUUACUAACUACAGAAGUUGAAACUGAAGGUUGGAUUGGAACCAUGUCACUGGGUUUAAUCAAACAGUGUUUCAGUAAAUUUAGGAUAUUCCUGUGUGGGUGAGAGAUUAUCAAGACGUCAAUUAGUCAGUAUCUCAACGGGUGGAAACCCCCA
Molecule: long non-coding RNA, 439 nt
Organism: Oncorhynchus keta (chum salmon)
Lineage: Eukaryota; Metazoa; Chordata; Actinopteri; Salmoniformes; Salmonidae
Exons: 3
Source: RefSeq, a predicted model, not a curated record